UCUGCCUGUAAUCUGGAGGGAGAAGCCUGGGUUGCAAGAGGAAAGAGCAUGAAGGAGGCACCAGACAUAACUAUGCUCUGAUCAUAAGAAAUGGAAGGCAACAGGAAGGCACACUGUCGUUACCUCACUAGCAAGAAAUUGAGUGGUUUGACCUGCCAAGUUAUUCAAGACUUUGGACACUCCCUUGAAGUGAAGCGGAACUCCCAGCUGUCGUGGUUCCCACCGCCCUUACUGGAAUGGAGCUCCACCACAAUACACGGUGCAGCCUCUGCACAGGUUUUGUUUCAGUAACAUUCCCAUCUAUU
Non-coding RNA from Chelonoidis abingdonii (Abingdon island giant tortoise), 305 nucleotides. The record is from RefSeq and is a predicted model, not a curated record. NCBI's taxonomy places the organism in Eukaryota, Metazoa, Chordata, Testudines, Testudinidae.